Molecule: ribosomal RNA, 448 nt
Filed under: uncultured bacterium
Lineage: Bacteria
Description: partial 16S ribosomal RNA
Rfam family: Bacterial small subunit ribosomal RNA
Source: RNAcentral
AACGAACGCUGGCGGCAUGCCUAACACAUGCAAGUCGAACGAAGCCUUCGGGCUUAGUGGCGCACGGGUGCGUAACGCGUGGGAAUCUGCCCUUUGGUUCGGAAUAACAGUUGGAAACGACUGCUAAUACCGGAUGAUGACGAAAGUCCAAAGAUUUAUCGCCAGAGGAUGAGCCCGCGUAGGAUUAGCUAGUUGGUGUGGUAAAGGCGCACCAAGGCGACGAUCCUUAGCUGGUCUGAGAGGAUGAUCAGCCACACUGGGACUGAGACACGGCCCAGACUCCUACGGGAGGCAGCAGUGGGGAAAAUUGGACAAUGGGCGAAAGCCUGAUCCAGCAAUGCCGCGUGAGUGAUGAAGGCCCUAGGGUUGUAAAGCUCUUUACCCGGGAUGAUAAUGACAGUACCGGGAGAAUAAGCCCCGGCUAACUCCGUGCCAGCCGCCGCGGUAA